GUGCUUGCUUCGGUAAGCACAGAUACUAGAACUGGAAUGACACACAGAUGUUCCGCACAGCCCCUGUGCAAGGCUGACACCACAGAUUUGUCUUCCAUAUUUUU
Ochotona curzoniae (black-lipped pika) is the source of this 104-nucleotide small nuclear RNA. The record is from RefSeq and is a predicted model, not a curated record. Lineage: Eukaryota; Metazoa; Chordata; Mammalia; Lagomorpha; Ochotonidae.